This 553-nucleotide long non-coding RNA is filed under the name Brachypodium distachyon (stiff brome). RNAcentral describes it as "long non-coding RNA (BDIS_LNC005952)". The record is from RNAcentral. Lineage: Eukaryota; Viridiplantae; Streptophyta; Magnoliopsida; Poales; Poaceae.
CACAGUGUUAAUUCUAUGCGGAUACGUACGUGUCGACCUGCCAUUGCCAUCGCGGCGCAUGAUGGCAUGCACAAGUCGCCUGCAGGAGGAAAUCAUGGGCUGGCACUGGCCUCGUGGAAGUCUUGUCGCCUGCCUGCCUUCCUUCCUUUCUUUCUUUCUUUCUUUUUACUUUGAAAAACCUCGUUGCUUGAAGGAAUCUGACGUACUUGCAGUCUAUUGCGUUGUACCUUUCACCUUGUACCUCAGGUCGAAUUCCAGUGGUUAUGUACUCGUCACGAUGAAAUGUACUCCCUCCAAUAUGUAAAAAAGAUUAAACUAAAAGAUAAUUGUAUCACUAGCCCAACCAGGACAAACACCAAAUCAAAUAGCAACUUGGAUAACAAAAAAACAUUGGCGAACAAUAUCACAAGAGGUUUGUCAUGCACCUAUCGUGAACAAUCACAUAUUUGCCUUGGCUCUCAAACAUCCAAAACCUGUAUAAGUGAGAGGUGUAAAACGGAAAAAAAAAAUUAGUCCUGAAAGUUGAGAUGUGGGUUGUUUAGAGGUCCAAACC